RNAcentral lists this ribosomal RNA (253 nucleotides) under uncultured bacterium. Its description in RNAcentral is "partial 16S ribosomal RNA". It matches the Rfam family "Bacterial small subunit ribosomal RNA", at positions 524 to 776 of the family's 1533-position model. The record is from RNAcentral.
GACGGAGGAUGCAAGCGUUAUCCGGAAUGAUUGGGCGUAAAGCGUCCGCAGGUGGCAGUUCAAGUCUGCUGUCAAAGACCGGGGCUUAACUUCGGAAAGGCAGUGGAAACUGAACAGCUAGAGUAUGGUAGGGGCAGAGGGAAUUCCCGGUGUAGUGGUGGAAUGCGUAGAGAUCGGGAGGAACACCCGUGGCGAAGGCGGUGGCCUGGACCGAUGCUGACGCUGAGGCGCGAAAGCGUGGGGAGCGAUCCGG